This 215-nucleotide unclassified non-coding RNA is filed under the name Hevea brasiliensis (rubber tree). Lineage: Eukaryota; Viridiplantae; Streptophyta; Magnoliopsida; Malpighiales; Euphorbiaceae. The record is from RNAcentral.
GGAUAAUAUAACUGGAGAGCUCAGUGAAGCUAAAUCUGAGGAGGGAGACCAAAAUCAGAUGAUAGAAGAAUCAGAAAAUCCUAAGACUCCAUCAGAAUCAGAGAGCAGUCCUAAAUCUUCAACUGAGGAAGACCCUCAAGCAGUAAAAUCAUCCAAGACUGAGAAUGAACCGACUAAUGUGACAAAUUCCGAGCAGAACAAUCUGAAGAAGCCAG